CCUCGUGGCCAACCUCCCCCCGUGUUGACCGACUCCUGUUGCUUCGGCGGGCCCGCCCGGGCUCCCGCCCGGCCGCCGGGGGGCCUCGUCGCCCCCGGGCCCGCGCCCGCCGAAGACCCCUCGAACGCUGCCUUGAAGGUUGCCGUCUGAGUAUAAAAUCAAUCGUUAAAACUUUCAACAACGGAUCUCUUGGUUCCGGCAUCGAUGAAGAACGCAGCGAAAUGCGAUAAGUAAUGUGAAUUGCAGAAUUCCGUGAAUCAUCGAAUCUUUGAACGCACAUUGCGCCCCCUGGCAUUCCGGGGGGCAUGCCUGUCCGAGCGUCAUUGCUAACCCUCCAGCCCGGCUGGUGUGUUGGGCCGCCGUCCCCUCCGGGGGACGGGCCCGAAAGGCAGCGGCGGCGCCGCGUCCGGUCCUCGAGCGUAUGGGGCUUUGUCACACGCUCUGGUAGGCCCGGCCGGCUUGCUGGCCAACGACCUCACGGUCACCUAACUUCUCUCUUAGGUUGACCUCGGAUCAGGUAGGGAUACCCGCUGAACUUAAGCAUAUCAAUAAGUCGGAGGAAAUUACCGAGUGCGGGUCCCUCAAGGCCCAGCUCACACCGUGGUGAACCAACCCUGUAGCUUCGGCAGGACGCCAAGGCUCCGCGGCCCGUGGGAGUAUGGCCCCCGGACGCGCCGCCAAAGACCUCGAAAGCAGCUUUGAAAGGUUUGCCGUC
Molecule: ribosomal RNA, 715 nt
Filed under: Paecilomyces niveus
Lineage: Eukaryota; Fungi; Ascomycota; Eurotiomycetes; Eurotiales; Thermoascaceae
Description: eukaryotic LSU rRNA
Rfam family: 5.8S ribosomal RNA (bases 170-323)
Source: RNAcentral